Molecule: unclassified non-coding RNA, 156 nt
Filed under: uncultured Phomopsis
Lineage: Eukaryota; Fungi; Ascomycota; Sordariomycetes; Diaporthales; Cytosporaceae
Description: sequence contains ITS2
Source: RNAcentral
CAACCCUCAAGCAUUGCUUGGUGUUGGGGCACUGCUUUUAACGAAGCAGGCCCUGAAAUCUAGUGGCGAGCUCGCCAGGACCCCGAGCGUAGUAGUUAAACCCUCGCUUUGGAAGGCCCUGGCGGUGCCCUGCCGUUAAACCCCCAACUUUUGAAA